GCAGUCGAGCGACGGAUAAGGAGCUUGCUCCUUUGAAGUUAGCGGCGGACGGGUGAGUAACACGUGGGUAACCUACCUAUAAGACUGGAAUAACUUCGGGAAACCGGAGCUAAUGCCGGAUAACAUAUAGAACCGCAUGGUUCUAUAGUGAAAGAUGGUUUUGCUAUCACUUAUAGAUGGACCCGCGCUGUAUUAGCUAGUUGGUAAGGUAAUGGCUUACCAAGGCGACGAUACAUAGCCGACCUGAGAGGGUGAUCGGCCACACUGGAACUGAGACACGGUCCAGACUCCUACGGGAGGCAGCAGUAGGGAAUCUUCCGCAAUGGGCGAAAGCCUGACGGAGCAACGCCGCGUGAGUGAUGAAGGUUUUCGGAUCGUAAAACUCUGUUAUUAGGGAAGAACAAAUGCGUAAGUAACUGUGCGCAUCUUGACGGUACCUAAUCAGAAAGCCACGGCUAACUACGUGCCAGCAGCCGCGGUAAUACGUAGGUGGCAAGCGUUAUCCGGAAUUAUUGGGCGUAAAGCGCGCGUAGGCGGUUUCUUAAGUCUGAUGUGAAAGCCCACGGCUCAACCGUGGAGGGUCAUUGGAAACUGG
This 595-nucleotide ribosomal RNA is filed under the name Staphylococcus succinus. RNAcentral describes it as "bacterial SSU rRNA". It matches the Rfam family "Bacterial small subunit ribosomal RNA", at positions 57 to 636 of the family's 1533-position model. The record is from RNAcentral. Lineage: Bacteria; Bacillati; Bacillota; Bacilli; Caryophanales; Staphylococcaceae.